This 468-nucleotide ribosomal RNA is filed under the name uncultured bacterium. Its description in RNAcentral is "partial 16S ribosomal RNA". It matches the Rfam family "Bacterial small subunit ribosomal RNA", at positions 28 to 507 of the family's 1533-position model. The record is from RNAcentral.
GACGAACGCUGGCGGCGUGCUUAACACAUGCAAGUCGAACGGAAAGGCCCUGCUUUUUUGGUCUGCUCGAGUGGCGAAUGGGUGAGUAACACGUGAGUAACCUGCCCUUGACUUUGUGAUAACUUCAGGAAACUGGGGCUAAUACAGGAUAAGUGCUCCUGCUUCAUGGUUGGCUUUGGAAUGCUUCGGUGGUUGGGGAUGUACUCGCGUCUUAUGAGCUUGCUGGUGGGGUAGUGGAUUACCAAGGCUCUGCAGGGUAGGCCGCCUGAGAGGGUGAGCGGCCACAUUGGGACUGAGAGACGGCCCGGACUACUACGGGAGGCAGGAAUGAGGAGUAUUGAACGAUGGGCGGAAGCCUGAUGCAGCAACGCAGCGUGCGGGAUGACGGAAUGCGGGUUGUAAACCGCUUUCGCCUGUGACGAAGCGAGAGUGACGGUAAUGGGUAAAGAAGCACCGGCUAACUACGUG